AGCAGCCGCGGUAAUUCCAGCUCCAAUGGCGUAUAUUAAAGUUGUUGCAGUUAAAAAGCUCGUAGUUGAAUUUCGGGAUUGACACAUCGGUCGUGCCUUAAGGGGUAUGAACUGGUGUAGUCAAUUUCUCACCUUCUGGGGAACCGCGAUGUCCUUAGUUGGGUGCCGCGAGGAACCAGGACCUUUACUUUGAAAAAAUUAGAGUGUUUAAAGCAGGCAUUUUUGCUUGAAUACAUUAGCAUGGAAUAAUAAAAUAGGACGGCAUGAUUCUAUUUUGUUGGUUUCUAGGAUCACCGUAAUGAUUAAUAGGGAUAGUUGGGGGCAUUAGUAUUCAAUUGUCAGAGGUGAAAUUCUUGGAUUUAUUGAAGACUAACUACUGCGAAAGCAUUUGCCAAGGAUGUUUUCAUUAAUCAAGAACGAAAGUUAGGGGAUCGAAGACGAUCAGAUACCGUCGUAGUCUUAACCAUAAACUAUGCCGACUAGGAAUCAGACGAUGUUAAUUUUUUAAUGACUCGUUUGGCACCUUACG
RNAcentral lists this ribosomal RNA (529 nucleotides) under uncultured Glomus. RNAcentral's name for it is "SSU rRNA". It matches the Rfam family "Eukaryotic small subunit ribosomal RNA", at positions 569 to 1092 of the family's 1831-position model. Lineage: Eukaryota; Fungi; Glomeromycota; Glomeromycetes; Glomerales; Glomeraceae. The record is from RNAcentral.